RNAcentral lists this ribosomal RNA (1141 nucleotides) under Enterococcus faecium. RNAcentral's name for it is "bacterial SSU rRNA". It matches the Rfam family "Bacterial small subunit ribosomal RNA", at positions 71 to 1199 of the family's 1533-position model. The record is from RNAcentral. Lineage: Bacteria; Bacillati; Bacillota; Bacilli; Lactobacillales; Enterococcaceae.
GCUUGCUCCACCGGAAAAAGAAGAGUGGCGAACGGGUGAGUAACACGUGGGUAACCUGCCCAUCAGAAGGGGAUAACACUUGGAAACAGGUGCUAAUACCGUAUAACAAUCAAAACCGCAUGGUUUUGAUUUGAAAGGCGCUUUCGGGUGUCGCUGAUGGAUGGACCCGCGGUGCAUUAGCUAGUUGGUGAGGUAACGGCUCACCAAGGCCACGAUGCAUAGCCGACCUGAGAGGGUGAUCGGCCACAUUGGGACUGAGACACGGCCCAAACUCCUACGGGAGGCAGCAGUAGGGAAUCUUCGGCAAUGGACGAAAGUCUGACCGAGCAACGCCGCGUGAGUGAAGAAGGUUUUCGGAUCGUAAAACUCUGUUGUUAGAGAAGAACAAGGAUGAGAGUAACUGUUCAUCCCUUGACGGUAUCUAACCAGAAAGCCACGGCUAACUACGUGCCAGCAGCCGCGGUAAUACGUAGGUGGCAAGCGUUGUCCGGAUUUAUUGGGCGUAAAGCGAGCGCAGGCGGUUUCUUAAGUCUGAUGUGAAAGCCCCCGGCUCAACCGGGGAGGGUCAUUGGAAACUGGGAGACUUGAGUGCAGAAGAGGAGAGUGGAAUUCCAUGUGUAGCGGUGAAAUGCGUAGAUAUAUGGAGGAACACCAGUGGCGAAGGCGGCUCUCUGGUCUGUAACUGACGCUGAGGCUCGAAAGCGUGGGGAGCAAACAGGAUUAGAUACCCUGGUAGUCCACGCCGUAAACGAUGAGUGCUAAGUGUUGGAGGGUUUCCGCCCUUCAGUGCUGCAGCUAACGCAUUAAGCACUCCGCCUGGGGAGUACGACCGCAAGGUUGAAACUCAAAGGAAUUGACGGGGGCCCGCACAAGCGGUGGAGCAUGUGGUUUAAUUCGAAGCAACGCGAAGAACCUUACCAGGUCUUGACAUCCUUUGACCACUCUAGAGAUAGAGCUUCCCCUUCGGGGGCAAAGUGACAGGUGGUGCAUGGUGGUCGUCAGCUCGUGUCGUGAGAUGUUGGGUUAAGUCCCGCAACGAGCGCAACCCUUAUUGUUAGUUGCCAUCAUUCAGUUGGGCAUUCUAGCAAGACUGCCGGUGACAAACCGGAGGAAGGUGGGGAUGACGUCAAAUCAUCAUGCC